Molecule: long non-coding RNA, 3012 nt
Organism: Empidonax traillii (willow flycatcher)
Lineage: Eukaryota; Metazoa; Chordata; Aves; Passeriformes; Tyrannidae
Exons: 6
Source: RefSeq, a predicted model, not a curated record
AGGCGGGCGCUGACUCUGGAGCGCGGCGGGGCGGGCGCGGGUCCCGCCGCUCCUUGAGGGGGAGGCGGCCGUGCCCCGCCGGUCCCCGGCUCCCGCUGCCUUCUCAGGGCUCCCCCUCACGCCGCGGCCCCGCCGCUCCCGCCUUUCCCCUCACGCCGCGGGUCCGGCCGCUCCCGCCUUCCCCCUCACGGAGCGCGGCGCCGGCGGUUCCGAUCCGUGAGGGGGGAGCGGGGCGCCCUCGAUGGAAGCGCCUAAAACGCAACGCGCAGACCGCAGAACUCCCCCCACGUCAGCCCUCUAAUCCAAACGGCACCUUUGGUUUAAACAGAAAUUAAUCUCCAGCCCAAAUAGGCCGGGAUUUGGCUCACCUGCGGCGCCCGUCGCCUGGACCCGGAGGAGGUGCCGGCUGUCUGGAAAACAAGGGAUGAGAAAACCGAGGGAUUUUCUGCAGGCUUGAUGUAACCCGCAGCAGGCUGUUGCAUCAAAGACUAGAAAAAGAACCCGGGACAAAAAUAAUCUUUUAAGAGCGAGCAGCUAAGAUUAGUGCAGCGCGUCAAGAUGUUGCUGAGCGCUACAGAACGAGUCCUCCUGCCUGUACCAGCACAGGAAUAUUGCUUUUCUGGCAUCUGCAACCCUGAGAUUAUCUGCACUUAAUUACACAUUGUGUCGAGGUCAACAAACUGCGGUCAAGGACGGGGAUCUCGCUGUGCAGGGCCUGACACAAACACCAAAGGAGUUUCUGCCCAAAUGCUGCCAUCCCUGCCAACACGCCGAUUGGCUUCCUCAGGAUUUCAGAGUGUGCAUCUGAGGAUUCAGACUGUGCAUCAUAAAGUUUCCCUCAGCAACUGCUAAAACUACUCACAAGGCACUGCAGGAUGGAGCAGCUCUCAAAGAUGGAAUGGACUUCCAGUACUUUCGAAGUUAUGCGUCUAGUCAGGAAACACAUUGAGCAGAAUGGAAAAAAAAAAGAGAAGAAGAAAUGGCACUUUCAUGUUUCUGUUUGCAAGCUGGAUUCAUCACUCCUCAGCUAUUACCUACAGAGUCCCAGAUGGAUGCUGGUUUGCUGGAAAAUAAAUGAAGCACAAGGAUGACUUCAAACAUUUGCAGGAGCCAUGCUGACACUCAAAAUAUAGAAACAUCAAGUAACUUUCCUGGUGAGAUCAUAAAAGCAGAGCCACAGUGAUCAAAGAAGAAAAUGCAAGACUCUUACUCCAUUCCUAAUACAAGAUACAUUCUCCUUCUGGGACCAGGAGCCUCCAUGGCACAGAGAUGCUCCCACAGUCUACAAAUACAGUACAUAAGCUACGGGACCAGAUGGCUCCCACACACGAUGCUCUGAAUCGUGGCAGGGCUGGAGGUGUUUGUUCUGUGGCUCAGCAAACGCAACGCUGCACCAGGUGAAACCCCCUCUCAGCCACACAUGGUGCACGCUGCGUGGAGCUGCAGCAGGUGCCCGUGGAGCCACGCUGAGGAAGAUCCUUUCCUUCUUGCAGGUUGUCAGGAAAAUGUCUGUCAUACCUUCAGCACAAAUGGCAAGGAGUAGAGGCAGCGCAGUGACACAUGGCACAGGACAGAUGCUCGGGAUGCACAGUGCCUGAUGGCAAGGAAUCCUGGCGGGCCAAGGACAGGAGGCUCUUGUUCCCCCUCUGAUUUCCCCGUGCAGCUUGUGAUUAAACCGGUGCUGACACCUUGCCCAGUGCCUGUUUGCACAGCCAAUAGCCCUGGGCAGGACUGCUGGCCGUGAAGCACCUACUGGAAAAGGAGAGAAUCUCACUGUUUGAGAGCAUCUUUGCCCCUGGCAUUUGCUAAACAGGAAACAAAACUGAUUUUCUCCUCCCUUGCCUCACGUAGAUGUGGGGGAGAUUCAAGCUGGGGCAGCCCUGUGAAAUGAGAGUGAACGGGGGGGCGUUUGCCAAUGGAACAACCACUGCUCAGGAGGGCAAGGCUGGAGGGACUGCACAGCAUGUGAUUUGUGCUUCAGUGACAAGACCAUAAACACCACCCUGCAGUUGUCCCUCUCUGAUCCAUCGCGCUUCUGAGCACUGAAAAACGCUGGAAGAAUGAAAGCUGUUUUUCCAAUGUGUGGGAGAUGGCUGUUCAGAGAAUUCCAGCCUGCCGUGCUGGGGGCUCAGUGCAAGCACCAAACCCCAGGGUGGCUGAGGGAUGUCCCGGAUGGCACGAUGGAUACGGUGUGUGUGUGCUCCAGGCCAGGCAACGAGGGUACAGCGAAGCACCUGGCCACUCUCCAAUGGCCACACUCCACCUCAAGUAUUUUCUGAGAUGGGAAAAUUCCCCUUUGGCUGUUUCUCAGCUUGCUUUCCUUGGUAUGCAUUUGACAUGCCCUCGUCGUUGGGAGUGACAGGACACCUCGUGAGCGGGCGCCGUGCUGGCCCUUGGCAAGCAGUGGGACACCCAUCAGGGAGUGGAGCAAUGACCAGGAAUGUCACAACUGCAGCCUGUGCAGAGCAGCUCUGAUGAAGGUUAAACAUGUGCUGCCACCACCUCUGAGGUCAGCGUUGGGCUCGCCUUAGCAGUUCUAUAAAUAGAUGGCCAAGGUUGACUGAAAAGAGGAUUUGGCUCGGCUGGAUCUUGUUUAGCAUUCCCAAGAGAGGAAGGCAGAUUCUUUUCCCUUUUCUCUUCCAGCCUCUAACCUUGAGUUGGUCUCUGUGGGAAGCAUUAGUGGCAUUUGCCAGCAGAGCGGCCGCCGUGAGCCGGAUGUCCUGCUGUGUCCCACAAACCACACGUACACGUCCCUUCAACCUGCUAACCCAGACCUAAUUCCACUAAAGCCUCAAACUAAUUCCUCACCGGCAAAACUAAGGAAAGAACCCAAACAAACCUGGAGCCUAAUUGCUCGAAAACAGUAGGACACCUAGUGGAUUUAUGGAGAAUAUCUUUGGGAUUAUCAGAAACAUUUUGUCAUUUUCUUGGCAAAACCAACUGUGAAUAUAUUUAUGGAGGAAUCAUUGAAAUAUCAGAGUUUCUAUUUAAUAAAUUAGUCUUGUUAUAGCU